CCGCUCUUCGGGCGAGCUCCGCGUGCACACACCCUAGCUUUCACAAGAACUGGAAGAGCGGGCCAGGCCUGCGCCGCGGACUCGGUGGGCCCUGCCCCUCCGCCAUCCCCUGGAUGGUCAUCGCAUCCAAAGCUGAACGCGUUGGUGCAUUCAGGAGUUGGAGGCAGGAACAUCAAGAGUUCAAGGUUGCUACACAACAAAAAUAUGGUAUCUCUCAGAAAGAAAGCAAGAUGUCCUUUCUACCAGGUAUGCUGUUAUUGGUCUGGCAAGUUUGUUCCUUCUCACCCUCCAUCAGUAAGGAGAAUCACAGCAGCUCACUCUUCCAUGGAAAGGACCAUGGUACAUAUUUACCGUUUUAUACUGGGGCUUUA
Acomys russatus (golden spiny mouse) is the source of this 371-nucleotide long non-coding RNA. RefSeq lists it as uncharacterized. Lineage: Eukaryota; Metazoa; Chordata; Mammalia; Rodentia; Muridae. The transcript is spliced from 3 exons. The record is from RefSeq and is a predicted model, not a curated record.